This 332-nucleotide ribosomal RNA is filed under the name uncultured bacterium. RNAcentral describes it as "bacterial SSU rRNA". It matches the Rfam family "Bacterial small subunit ribosomal RNA", at positions 568 to 898 of the family's 1533-position model. The record is from RNAcentral.
CGCGUAGGCGGUGCGGUAAGUCACCUGUGAAACCUCCGGGCUCAACUCGGAGCCUGCAGGCGAAACUGCCGUGCUGGAGUGUGGGAGGGGUGCGUGGAAUUCCCGGUGUAGCAGUGAAAUGCAUAGAGAUCGGGAGGAACACCUGUGGCGAAAGCGGCGCACUGGACCACAACUGACGCUGAGGCGCGAAAGCUAGGGGAGCAAACAGGAUUAGAUACCCUGGUAGUCCUAGCCCUAAACGAUGGAUGCUUGGUGUAGCCGGUACCCAAUCCGGCUGUGCCGCAGCUAACGCGAUAAGCAUCCCGCCUGGGGAGUACGGUCGCAAGGCUGAA